GGGGAUACAGCUCAGUUGGUAGAGUGCUUGCCUUGCAUGCAUGAGUCCCUGGGUUCAACCCCCAGUACCACCA
This 73-nucleotide transfer RNA is filed under the name Ictidomys tridecemlineatus (thirteen-lined ground squirrel). Its description in RNAcentral is "Spermophilus tridecemlineatus (thirteen-lined ground squirrel) tRNA". It matches the Rfam family "tRNA". From Rfam's summary of the family: Transfer RNA (tRNA) molecules are approximately 80 nucleotides in length. Their secondary structure includes four short double-helical elements and three loops (D, anti-codon, and T loops). Further hydrogen bonds mediate the characteristic L-shaped molecular structure. tRNAs have two regions of fundamental functional importance: the anti-codon, which is responsible for specific mRNA codon recognition, and the 3' end, to which the tRNAs corresponding amino acid is attached (by aminoacyl-tRNA synthetases). tRNAs cope with the degeneracy of the genetic code in two manners: having more than one tRNA (with a specific anti-codon) for a particular amino acid; and 'wobble' base-pairing, i.e. permitting non-standard base-pairing at the 3rd anti-codon position. Lineage: Eukaryota; Metazoa; Chordata; Mammalia; Rodentia; Sciuridae. The record is from Rfam by way of RNAcentral.